GAUGAACGCUGGCGGCGUGCCUCAAACAUGCAAGUCGAGCGGGGCUAUGUAAUAUCGCAAGGUAGAACAUAGCCUAGCGGCGAACGGGUGAGUAACACGUGGGUAACCUGCCUGGAAGACAGGGAUAACGAUUCGAAAGGGUCGCUAAUACCUGAUAAUAUCCUUUCAUCGCAUGGUGAUAGGAAGAAAGGGGAAACCCGCUUUCAGAUGGGCCCGCGUCCCAUCAGCUAGUUGGUAAGGUAAAGGCUUACCAAGGCGACGACGGGUAGCCGGUCUGAGAGGAUGUACGGCCACACUGGGACUGAGAUACGGCCCAGACUCCUACGGGAGGCAGCAGUUGGGAAUCUUAGGCAAUGGACGAAAGUCUGACCUAGCGACGCCGCGUGAGGGAAGAAGGCCUUCGGGUUGUAAACCUCUGUCAGUGGGGGAAGAAGGAAGUGACGGUACCCAAGAGGAAGCCCCUGCUAACUACGUGCCAGCAGCCGACGGUAAAAGUACUCUAU
This 503-nucleotide ribosomal RNA is filed under the name uncultured bacterium. RNAcentral describes it as "bacterial SSU rRNA". It matches the Rfam family "Bacterial small subunit ribosomal RNA", at positions 28 to 530 of the family's 1533-position model. The record is from RNAcentral.